UUCUUUACUUUUCUAGGCAGUCAGCCACCUAGUAGAGAAUUUUCGUACUGCCUUUUGGAAUCUCGUUUUAUCUUCUAUUUCUAUCGUCUGCUUAAUUCGUCUCGUGGUCUUGACUCGUGAACGUGACGCUGAAAAAUGGAUUGGUCGUUUGAAUUCGUUCUUUAUUUUUCAGUAUCUUUCAUACUACAUUUUUAAUUGAAAUAUGCAGCAUAUCGGAUUUUUCUAAUUUCUGUACAAGUUCAGUUUUUGUUUGAACUUUCAAUAUCCUAAUUUCUAUUCAUCGCUUGCUGGUCCAUAAACACAUUGUUGGAUUUCACAGCUUUUUUUGAGGACAGCAACUUUGUCUUCAUUGUUUUGGAGCUUUGAAAAAGAAGGAGUCUCAUGGAGCUGCACAAAAGAAGAAAAGCCAUCACGGAACCUGAAGCUCGCUUUUUCAUGCACCAACUUCUUCUUGGUGUAAAGCAUCUCCACGAAAACAAGUUCAUUCACUGAAAGUUGAAACUGGAUUAUCUUUCCCUCGAUGAAGACAUGGAGCUGAAGAUUGGAGACUUUUGCCUUACAACAAAGAUAGAUUCUGAUGGUCAUCCGUCAAUCUUUUCAUUUCCACAUGGCAAAAGCUCAUUUCAGCAAAUUGUAGAUGAAUGGAUUGAACAGUACAAAGCUGAUCGUGACUCAGGAUUGUGUGCCACAAUGCAGUAUGCAGUUCUUCAUUAGUGCUUCCGGAUGCAAAGGGAAAAUUAGCUCUCAAAUGCAAAGUAGCAUGGAACAUGCUGUGAUAAUCUGUCAUAUGACUGAAGAGUUUGAUGAAGGAAUUUAUGAAUACCCCAUAAUGAUGUCUGGUCCACAAUGGAAAAAAUUUUGAAGCAACUUCUGUGACUUCGUUCAGACACCUGUCAAGCAAUGCCAAACGUUCCAUCAUUUAUGAUCAGUACCUCAUGGAUAAUGUAAUUUUGCUACUUACUGGUCUUUCUGAUUUACCAGUAAGAGUGUUUCAUCAUACUGCUACACUUGCUGCUAUGAAAUUCAAUUUGGUUGGUUUAAGUGGCUCUGACUGCAUCGAUUCAUCUUGAUAACACGUCUCGUCAGUAUGAAGCAGAGCGUCAGAAAACUCGGGAUGAACGAGCCAGUGAUCGUCUCGAAGCGUUACUUGCCAAACACCAAGAACUUGAAAAAAACAUGGAAGAAAUUUAAAAAAUGUUGGCUUGCACAUUCAAGUCGGUUUUUGUCCAUCGUUACCGAGAUAUUGUUCCCAAUAUUCGAGCCAAUUGUAUGGUGGAAAUUGGCAUUUCGAUGAAGCGGUUCCCCCAAAAUUUCCUCGAUGACUCCUACCUCAAGUAUGUAUGUGGACUUUGAAUGACAAAGUGAAAUUUCGUGAAUGAAACGGCGAGCUUCUGUGACACUUUGUUUCUUCUGCGACUGCGGUGCCACGGACGACAGAUAAUGCCAGGCUUUGGUCCGCCGACCUUCUCAGCCGAAAGAAUACGCUCCCAUGCGUCCUCGAGACCGCCAGGAAAUCCACAGAGUCGGACCUAACGGCAGAGCUAUGGGAUUACGGUCGACGAAAGCUGCGUCUGCGGCAUUUUUGUCAAACAGCAACAUCGCACCGUGGAACGCCGUCUGAUUAGCCGCCUUAUUUUCCGCUUCCUGUUGGACUGCAACGUCUCCACCGUCCGCUGGCAUGCGCACGCCCUAGUCCCCCCAUUUUGUCGCCAUUCUACCGUGGCCCAGCAGCAAGACCUGGUCGCUCUCAUGUGGUCUCUGUGGUUUGGCCUCCAACUCGACAGCCGAAAACUUCUCAGUUUGUCGAUCUGCUUGGUUAUUUCACCAUCAAAACUCCCGGGAUGGAAAAUUCACUACCCGACCUAGACGCCGACCCACAUCAUCAAGUUGGUUGGGAGCCACGUCGUCAACCGCUUUGCUCUGCGCAUUACAGACAUCAAACAAACGAAAUUGGUGCCCCACCAUCAACAUUUUCUACAACAACAGACCCGUCCAGGCCGCCGUUGAGCUCAAGAACCGGCCCGGCGUUUGGCUCAAGGCUAAGAAGCUGUCGUUGACACC
Long non-coding RNA from Daphnia pulicaria, 2061 nucleotides. RefSeq lists it as uncharacterized. Lineage: Eukaryota; Metazoa; Arthropoda; Branchiopoda; Diplostraca; Daphniidae. The transcript has 6 exons. The record is from RefSeq and is a predicted model, not a curated record.